GCAAGUCGAGCGCACCCCUCCGGGGGCGAGCGGCGGACGGGUUAGUAACGCGUGGGAACAUACCCUUUUCUACGGAAUAGCCUCGGGAAACUGAGAGUAAUACCGUAUAAGCCCUUCGGGGGAAAGAUUUAUCGGGAAAGGAUUGGCCCGCGUUAGAUUAGAUAGUUGGUGGGGUAACGGCCUACCAAGUCUACGAUCUAUAGCUGGUUUUAGAGGAUGAUC
Molecule: ribosomal RNA, 222 nt
Filed under: uncultured bacterium
Lineage: Bacteria
Description: partial 16S ribosomal RNA
Rfam family: Bacterial small subunit ribosomal RNA
Source: RNAcentral